RNAcentral lists this long non-coding RNA (526 nucleotides) under Calidris pugnax (ruff). RNAcentral describes it as "lncRNA (ENSCPUG00000014024.1)". The record is from RNAcentral. Lineage: Eukaryota; Metazoa; Chordata; Aves; Charadriiformes; Scolopacidae.
UUAAGUCUCAAGUAAAUAACUAAACCAUUUAUCCUGAGAUCUGUUAAUUAACUUUAUCAAGAGUAGGAGAUGAAUAAACACCUAAGUACCUAGGUGCCAGUAAAAUAGUAAUUUCUGCUUAUAAUAAUACCAAUCCUCCAUGAAUCCCUACCUACAUUUUUGACUCUGAAGAAAAGCCUCUUAAGAGUUUUGUGUUUCUCCCUUGACUUUGCCCUGGUGCCUGACCUUUGAGCAGACACCCAACAGCUGAUGGGAAUUCAGAGCUGCUUGUUUGCUACUUCUGUAGGACGUUAUUUCAAGCCCAUCUGGUUCACAAUACUCCUGGGUCACCCCACAACUUGGUGUCUGAACCUGUCUGUCUGCAGUACUGAAUCAGAGUGGAGGACAAGGCUGACACUCAGGCAGGAGCAGCAGGAAGAGACCUCCACCAAAGGAUCUUCAAUCUUGGAACGUAUCACACUGGAGCUGGAAGUCACUGACCUCCAGCAGCGCAUAUAUGCAACCAACUCUCCACCUCAAAGAAAAC